UACGGAGGGUGCAAGCGUUAUUCGGAAUCAUUGGGUGUAAAGCGCGUGUAGGCGGCUUGGUAAGUCAGAUGUGAAAUCUCCGGGCUUAACCCGGAAAGUGCAUUUGAAACUGCUUGGCUUGAGUUCGGGAGAGGAAGGUGGAAGUCCCAGUGUAGAGGUGAAAUUCGUAGAUAUUGGGAGGAACACCGGUGGCGAAGGCGACCUUCUGGACCGUGACUGACGCUGAGACGCGAAAGCGUGGGGAGCAAACAGG
RNAcentral lists this ribosomal RNA (253 nucleotides) under uncultured bacterium. RNAcentral describes it as "partial 16S ribosomal RNA". It matches the Rfam family "Bacterial small subunit ribosomal RNA", at positions 524 to 776 of the family's 1533-position model. The record is from RNAcentral.